Molecule: ribosomal RNA, 1393 nt
Filed under: Streptococcus thermophilus
Lineage: Bacteria; Bacillati; Bacillota; Bacilli; Lactobacillales; Streptococcaceae
Description: bacterial SSU rRNA
Rfam family: Bacterial small subunit ribosomal RNA
Source: RNAcentral
UUCUUGGAUGAGUUGCGAACGGGUGAGUAACGCGUAGGUAACCUGCCUUGUAGCGGGGGAUAACUAUUGGAAACGAUAGCUAAUACCGCAUAACAAUGGAUGACACAUGUCAUUUAUUUGAAAGGGGCAAUUGUUCCACUACAAGAUGGACCUGCGUUGUAUUAGCUAGUAGGUGAGGUAAUGGCUCACCUAGGCGACGAUACAUAGCCGACCUGAGAGGGUGAUCGGCCACACUGGGACUGAGACACGGCCCAGACUCCUACGGGAGGCAGCAGUAGGGAAUCUUCGGCAAUGGGGGCAACCCUGACCGAGCAACGCCGCGUGAGUGAAGAAGGUUUUCGGAUCGUAAAGCUCUGUUGUAAGUCAAGAACGGGUGUGAGAGUGGAAAGUUCACACUGUGACGGUAGCUUACCAGAAAGGGACGGCUAACUACGUGCCAGCAGCCGCGGUAAUACGUAGGUCCCGAGCGUUGUCCGGAUUUAUUGGGCGUAAAGCGAGCGCAGGCGGUUUGAUAAGUCUGAAGUUAAAGGCUGUGGCUCAACCAUAGUUCGCUUUGGAAACUGUCAAACUUGAGUGCAGAAGGGGAGAGUGGAAUUCCAUGUGUAGCGGUGAAAUGCGUAGAUAUAUGGAGGAACACCGGUGGCGAAAGCGGCUCUCUGGUCUGUAACUGACGCUGAGGCUCGAAAGCGUGGGGAGCGAACAGGAUUAGAUACCCUGGUAGUCCACGCCGUAAACGAUGAGUGCUAGGUGUUGGAUCCUUUCCGGGAUUCAGUGCCGCAGCUAACGCAUUAAGCACUCCGCCUGGGGAGUACGACCGCAAGGUUGAAACUCAAAGGAAUUGACGGGGGCCCGCACAAGCGGUGGAGCAUGUGGUUUAAUUCGAAGCAACGCGAAGAACCUUACCAGGUCUUGACAUCCCGAUGCUAUUUCUAGAGAUAGAAAGUUACUUCGGUACAUCGGUGACAGGUGGUGCAUGGUUGUCGUCAGCUCGUGUCGUGAGAUGUUGGGUUAAGUCCCGCAACGAGCGCAACCCCUAUUGUUAGUUGCCAUCAUUCAGUUGGGCACUCUAGCGAGACUGCCGGUAAUAAACCGGAGGAAGGUGGGGAUGACGUCAAAUCAUCAUGCCCCUUAUGACCUGGGCUACACACGUGCUACAAUGGUUGGUACAACGAGUUGCGAGUCGGUGACGGCGAGCUAAUCUCUUAAAGCCAAUCUCAGUUCGGAUUGUAGGCUGCAACUCGCCUACAUGAAGUCGGAAUCGCUAGUAAUCGCGGAUCAGCACGCCGCGGUGAAUACGUUCCCGGGCCUUGUACACACCGCCCGUCACACCACGAGAGUUUGUAACACCCGAAGUCGGUGAGGUAACCUUUGGAGCCAGCCGCCUAAGUGACAG